RNAcentral lists this ribosomal RNA (468 nucleotides) under uncultured bacterium. RNAcentral's name for it is "partial 16S ribosomal RNA". It matches the Rfam family "Bacterial small subunit ribosomal RNA", at positions 28 to 507 of the family's 1533-position model. The record is from RNAcentral.
GACGAACGCUGGCGGCGUGCUUAACACAUGCAAGUCGAACGGAAAGGCCCUGCUUUUGUGGGGUGCUCGAGUGGCGAACGGGUGAGUAACACGUGAGUAACCUGCCCUUGACUUUGGGAUAACUUCAGGAAACUGGGGCUAAUACCGGAUAGGAGCUCCUGCUGCAUGGUGGGGGUUGGAAAGUUUCGGCGGUUGGGGAUGGACUCGCGGCUUAUGAGCUUGUUGGUGGGGGAGUGGCUUACCAAGGCUUUGACGGGUAGCCGGCCUGAGAGGGUGACCGGCCACAUUGGGACUGAGAUACGCACCAGACUCGUACGGGAGGCAGCAGUGGGGAAUAUUGCACAAUGGGCGGAAGCCUGAUGCAGCAACGCCGCGUGCGGGAUGACGGCCUUCGGGUUGUAAACCGCUUUCGCCUGUGACGAAGCGUGAGUGACGGUAAUGGGUAAAGAAGCACCGGCUAACUACGUG